AUGAGUUGUUUUCUGCUUCCCAUUAGCGUCCGGGAAAAGAUAAGAAGAUCAAUUGCAAACUUCUGGUGGGGCAUAGAAGAUGGCAGAAGGAAACUACAUUGGAGAUCAUGGAAAUGGUUGUCCUCACCAAAGUUCCUAGGAGGCAUGGGAUUCAGGGUCAUCUCAAUUUUCAAUCAAGCCAUGCUGGGUAAACAAUGUUGGCAUCUUUUAACCGAGCCUAACUCUUUAUGUGCCCGAGUGUUAAAGGGCAGGUAUUAUCCUGAUGGGGAUUUUUGGACUGCGGAGUGCCCGAGGUCUUCAUCUUACACAUGGCGUAGUCUGAUGUAUGGGAAGCGAUUGAUGCAAAAAGGCCUGUAG
This 357-nucleotide ribosomal RNA is filed under the name Triticum aestivum (bread wheat). Its description in RNAcentral is "partial small subunit ribosomal RNA". The record is from RNAcentral. Lineage: Eukaryota; Viridiplantae; Streptophyta; Magnoliopsida; Poales; Poaceae.